AGCGAACGCUGGCGGCAGGCCUAACACAUGCAAGUCGAACGAACUCUUCGGAGUUAGUGGCGGACGGGUGAGUAACACGUGGGAACGUGCCUUUUGGUUCGGAAUAACUCAGGGAAACUUGUGCUAAUACCGAAUGUGCCCUUCGGGGGAAAGAUUUAUCGCCAUUAGAGCGGCCCGCGCCUGAUUAGCUAGUUGGUGAGGUAACGGCUCACCAAGGCGACGAUCAGUAGCUGGUCUGAGAGGAUGACCAGCCACACUGGGACUGAGACACGGCCCAGACUCCUACGGGAGGCAGCAGUGGGGAAUCUUGCGCAAUGGGCGAAAGCCUGACGCAGCCAUGCCGCGUGAAUGAUGAAGGUCUUAGGAUUGUAAAAUUCUUUCACCGGGGACGACAAUGACGGUACCCGGAGAAGAAGCCCCGGCUAACUUCGUG
RNAcentral lists this ribosomal RNA (433 nucleotides) under uncultured bacterium. RNAcentral describes it as "partial 16S ribosomal RNA". It matches the Rfam family "Bacterial small subunit ribosomal RNA", at positions 29 to 507 of the family's 1533-position model. The record is from RNAcentral.